UUCUUCCUGUUCAAGCAUUCUGCUGUAACUGCAUUUCUUGGAUUUGUUCUAGGUCUUGCAGUGAUGCCAGCAGAGUAACUACAGGAAGUAGAAUAUAUGCACUGGUUUUUGGGAUGCUGAUGAACCUCUUUCUGAAUGUUCAGUAUCUUCUGUCCCAGAGAUUUAGUGCUACAGAU
Xenopus tropicalis (tropical clawed frog) is the source of this 176-nucleotide small nucleolar RNA. NCBI's taxonomy places the organism in Eukaryota, Metazoa, Chordata, Amphibia, Anura, Pipidae. The record is from Ensembl.